AUAUUCUUAGGCUCGGUCUAGAGGCAGGAAUUGAGUAGUUGGUGAACUCGCUCUAUGUUGUUCGUUCACUCGCGACGCGGUUCCUGUCCUAAGACCGGGUCUGUGAAUAU
Molecule: microRNA precursor, 110 nt
Organism: Oryza rufipogon (brownbeard rice)
Lineage: Eukaryota; Viridiplantae; Streptophyta; Magnoliopsida; Poales; Poaceae
Rfam family: MIR1861 microRNA precursor family
Source: Rfam